This 495-nucleotide ribosomal RNA is filed under the name uncultured bacterium. Its description in RNAcentral is "partial 16S ribosomal RNA". It matches the Rfam family "Bacterial small subunit ribosomal RNA", at positions 28 to 507 of the family's 1533-position model. The record is from RNAcentral.
GACGAACGCUGGCGGCGUGCCUAAUACAUGCAAGUCGAACGCUGAAGGAGGAGCUUGCUUCUCUGGAUGAGUUGCGAACGGGUGAGUAACGCGUAGGUAACCUGCCUGGUAGCGGGGGAUAACUAUUGGAAACGAUAGCUAAUACCGCAUAAUAGCAGUUAUUGCAUGAUAACUGUUUGAAAGGUGCAAUUGCACCACUACCAGAUGGACCUGCGUUGUAUUAGCUAGUUGGUGGGGUAACGGCUCACCAAGGCGACGAUACAUAGCCGACCUGAGAGGGUGAUCGGCCACACUGGGACUGAGACACGGCCCAGACUCCUACGGGAGGCAGCAGUAGGGAAUCUUCGGCAAUGGACGGAAGUCUGACCGAGCAACGCCGCGUGAGUGAAGAAGGUUUUCGGAUCGUAAAGCUCUGUUGUAAGAGAAGAACGAGUGUGAGAGUGGAAAGUUCACACUGUGACGGUAGCUUACCAGAAAGGGACGGCUAACUACGUG